GUUUUGUUGUGUGGUCCAGUAUGCCCUUUGACUCUCAACCCGACAUUAGGUAGAACUCAAACUCGGCCCUCUGCAAUAUCAGCGAGGCAAGCAUGUCAUCUCACCUUCUUCAGCCUCAGAUCCGCCGUUUGCCUGCAACACCCCUGAAAACACACACAACGGAUAAUACAGAUCAAACAGUAUUAGCCAACAAGACAAACCUCGUUGAAGUAAAUGUUGAUGGCAAUCCGCACCCCCUUCUUUAACAAAUACUACAACUUGCUCAAGAAAUUAAGUACCAAGACGUCUUGCAUCAGCCUAGCACGCCACAUCUUCUCCAAUGUUGGCUACAGCAACACUUCAAACAGCAGAGCCUUGAUGAGUCCGACUUUCGUCCCAUCGUUGAUGUUGCUUAGCAACGAUUCAAUGCUGGACAUGGACAACUUGUUCCAGACGAGUUGCUGAAGUGGACAAGAUUUGUCAUUACACAGCAGAUAGAGCAGGCGUUAAGUGACUUUCUGUAAAUGUGACUGACCUCCAUUAUUAUGAUGUUGCUCUGAAAUAGUGUGACCCUGACGCCUGAGGAGCAGUCUGUGAUUGACGCCAUUUAGCAGCAGCUGUUUACUGACAUACCCGAUUUUGGGUUUGUUGAAUUUGGCAUCUGGACUUGCACCAUCUCUGUCUGUAUCCCAUUCAAAGCAGCAGCAACAUUAACAACAACAACAGAGCCUGUUCCUCCUGGUCCAGGACCUUUGGGCAAAUGUUCAAAUAGUACUACCCACAGGAUGAAGCCACUCUGAAUCCGGGGCUCCAUACUUUCUUGGCCAGGGGCCAAGACUACCUCGUCAAUAAGCAAAAAAUUGGCUAAUAGAUGAAUAAGCUGUGAUGUGGAAAAAUGGGGCCUAAUGCAUGUGCUUAAAUUGUUGUCACAGAUUAGCCUGUGCAGUCCACACAGGCUAAUCAUGGACAACACUUUCCUCUUAAAGCAGAGCACCAGCAUUGAUAUCGAGUUGGCCCAGCAACCGCACAAGUCCCGCCUGCAGGAGCCCCAGUCCAGAACGACCCUUCCCCUCCCCAAACUUCUAACUCCUCCCCCUUGACCUCCUGACUCAAAAAGUCAGCAUCAUUGAACAACUCCGUUCUGCAGUAAAUUCUGAGCAUGAUUCUGUUCUGAACAAACGCAAUGCCCACGUCAAGUUGUCAACACAUAAGCCUGGGUAGUUUUGUUAAGCUAAAGUUCCGCGUGGGCCUGAGAGGGACGAGUUUUACAGACACGAAAAGUUAUAGCAGUAGUUAUGGUAACGCUAACAGUCAGUUGUUGCUGUUGGACAUCACAACGAAUAUCAUGAAGAAUAAAAAGUUCAAUAACUUGUUCCAAUCUUUAUGGGACAAACAGAAAUUGAACAGGAGAAAAUCAAGGAACAAUACAAUCGUAAGCUCUCCUAGUAGGAUACUUCUGCUGCUGAUAGUUUGGACGACAGUAGGGUUACAGACUGCCCAAGAUUGUCCUCGCAGUGGCCGCCAAAAUAUCAUAAUAGACUUUUGGCAAUGUUACUGACAAAGAAAGGCAGUAAUGACUUGGUUGUGAAUACCCAGAGCACGAUACAUCCAUGCUGACUCAGAAUGGCAGUAAUGACUUGGUUGUGAACACAUCGAGCACGAUACAUCCAUGCUGACAGAGAAAGGCAGUAAUGACUUGGUUGUGAAUACCCAGAGCACGAUACAUCCAUGCUGACAUAAAAAGGCAGUGAUGACUUGGUUGUGAACACCCAGAGCACAAUACAUCCAUGGGGUGUGCAUCAGAUGGAAUUUUGCCUAUUAUUGUUAACAAGUUGCUAAGAGUGAACACGUCUGGUUUUGUUAUGAGCACUUCCCACUCAGAGCCCAAAGGUCCUCGCAUUGAAGCGAUGCAAAAGAAGACUUUGAAAAAUGACAGCAGUUGUGUUGUGUGGUCCAGUAAUCCUUUCAACUCUCAACCUGAAGUUUAUCAAAACUCAAACUCAGCCCUUUGCAAUAUCACACCUUGCAACACAGUGUACUUUACCAUGAAUGUUUUGCGGUUUAAAACACCAAAAUUUCAAUUAAAAGUUUGUGCUCGUAACAUAUUGAUACAUUGCUAUUCUGAGUUCUAAUUAUGAUAUCCUUAAUAUCAAUAAUAGAUGAAAUGUUUGGCAUUAAAAAAACAGGUGUGUAAAGUAAUUUGUUACAGUGCAUAUUCAUUUGUCACUAAAAAAAUUAGGGUUAAGUUUACUUGUCAUUUCCUUUUUAGCAAACAUUAUUAGACAACAAAACAAACGUCGUUUAAGUGAAAGUCCAAGACAAUUCUGACCUAGUUUGGGCACAAGUACAACAACUAAGUAAAGAAAUUCACUUUGUCUUGCAUCAGCCUACAUGUAGAAAGCCUCUUAUAAACAUCUCCCAAGUUGGCUACAUCAACGCUUCCAACAGCGUAACUUGGCAUCGACACAUUGUUCCGAACGAGUCGCUCGAACUGAAACGAUCUGAUCCAACAGAGAGCAGGCUCUGCGUGACUCGUCUGUUAAUGUGACUGACCUGGAUAUGUUGCUUUCCAAUAAUAUGAGCCUUACUCCAGAUUAGCUGUCUGCGAUUGACGCAAUUCAACAACAGUGCUUGUCAGGAAUUUCCGGCUUUGGGAUGGCAAUUUGGCGUCGGGGCUUCAUCUCUGUCUUUGGCCUGGUCGCAGCAGAAGCAGCAACAAGAACAACAAUUAGUAUAAGAGCCUUCAUCUGGGAUAUUGGGUUUCAUGUAUGUGCUUAAAGUCUCAUCCCAUAUUAUACUGUGCAGACUGCACAUACAUUAAGUCCUAUUUAAGUGUCAUCCCAGAUUAGCUUGUGCAGACUGCACAUACAUUAAGUCCUUUUAAAGUGUCAUUCCAGAUUAGCCUGUGCAUACUGCACAUACAUUAAGUCAUAUUAAAGUGUCAUCCCAUAUUAGCCUGUGCAGACUGCACAUACAUUAAGUCCUAUAAAAGUGUCAUCUCAGAUUAGCCUGUGCAGACUGCACAUACAUUAAGUCCUAUUAAAGUGUCAUCUCAGAUUAGCCUGUGCAGACUGCACAUACAUUAAGUCCUAUUAAAGUGUCAUCCCAGAUUAGCCUAUGCAGACUGCACAUACAUUAAGUCCUAUUAAAGCGUCAUCCCAGAUUAGCCUAUGCAGACUGCACAUACAUUAAGUCCUAUUAAAGUGUCAUCUCAGAUUAGCCUGUGCAGACUGCACAUACAUUAAGUCCUAUUAAAGCGUCAUUCCAGAUUAGCCUAUGCAGACUGCACAUACAUUAAGUCCUAUUAAAGUGUCAUCCCAGAUUAGCCUAUGCAGACUGCACAUACAUUAAGCCCUAUUAAAGUAUCAUCUCAGAUUAGCCUGUGCAGACUGCACAUACAUUAAGUCCUAUUAAAGUGUCAUCCCAGAUUAGCCUGUGCAGACUGCACGUACAUCAAGCCCUAUUAAAGUGUCAUUCCAUAUUAGCCUGUGCAGACUGCACAUACAUUAAGCCCUAUAAAAGUGUCAUCCCAGAUUAGCCUGUGCAGACUGCACAUACAUUAAGCCCUAUUUUCCCAGAAUGAGGCUCGUAUACUACACUUAACAUCAGUAUUUUAUGUGCCUGAAAAGUUCCUAGCAUCAAAUGGGAAUUAUGUGCUUUUAAAUUGAUCACACUUAGUUAAUAAAAUGCAAAUAGCACUUGAUCUGAUAUCAAUUUUAAUCAUAGAAGGGUAGGGCAUUAAGUUUUGUAUAUUUUCGACCAAAACUCAGCCCCUGAACCAAAAGUUUAUCGUUGCAGAAAAAUCUGCUUUAAUAGAGUUGUUAAAUUAUAUUUAAUUUUAGAAAAAUAAUUAUGUAAAAGCCUUCAGCUCAUUUCAAAAUUAUUUUCUUCAUUUAUUUUCAAUAUUUAUUUAAAUUUCUGGAUUUUGUUUUUAGAGCCUGUUCCUUCAGGAACCCAUGCAAUCAUAGAUCGGUACCUAGCUGAACAACAGGCUGUCUGGUUAGCUCGGCCCAGGGCCCAGUGACACUUCCUGGCCCAGGACCUUGGGGCCAAUGCUCAACUAGUCCUACCCGCAGGGUGGAGCCACACUGAACCUGGGGCUUCAUACUUUCUUGGCCAGGGGCCAAGAUAUCCUCGUCAAUU
This is a long non-coding RNA of Dreissena polymorpha, 4122 nucleotides long. RefSeq lists it as uncharacterized. The record is from RefSeq and is a predicted model, not a curated record. Lineage: Eukaryota; Metazoa; Mollusca; Bivalvia; Myida; Dreissenidae. The transcript has 6 exons.